RNAcentral lists this long non-coding RNA (716 nucleotides) under Gallus gallus (chicken). The record is from RNAcentral. Lineage: Eukaryota; Metazoa; Chordata; Aves; Galliformes; Phasianidae.
GGCAAAAAUAUGCUUAUUGAAAGAGAAGUAGACUAUGAAAUCAUCUGCAGAAACAGACAAGGUCACAAUAGAAGUGUGAAAGUAAAAUAUUAAUCAACUGGAAUGGAAUGGAAAUCCCAAGGUAACACAAGAAACAAGGACACAAAAGAUGCUGAACGUUCAUAUCAUAGAGGACUUCAUGAUUAGUAAAAUUAGUACUUUCUACUGUUACCACCAUUAUAAAAUAGUUCUCUACAGAUGGUUCCUUAAAAAUCCUGCAGUAAUCAGACAGACUACAGGCUAAAGUAGAGAAUUCGAGCAACCUGGCAUCGAAGAUAAUAUUGGAAACACGAUUCACAUUUUAAAACUUGCCGUUUCUUCUGCUUAGACUGUAUUAUUAUUGUGUUUUUCAUGUGUUCGCACAUUUUCAAAUGAGUUGGGUUGACAGAGAAUAUUCUUUGUAAAGGUGAACACGUAGGUGACUUUUGGCCUAAUUUGUCUUGUUCCUCUGUAAAAAUGUAGAAGUCUCCACAGUUUUUCUUUUCUCUUCACUCUCAUUUAAGAUUUAAUAUAAUCCAAAACCUUUGACAGCCAAAUACCCAUAGUUUCAAGUAACAAAGUGUUUGGUGACAAAAUUGCUGCAAGAUGUUCUGUGACAUUAUUCUAUAAUGAGUUAUUGCUCUUCUGACUGCAAGAUCUAUAUGCUUGUACUCUUAGUUACCACUGCCAUAUCAAUG